Molecule: long non-coding RNA, 390 nt
Filed under: Aotus nancymaae (Ma's night monkey)
Lineage: Eukaryota; Metazoa; Chordata; Mammalia; Primates; Aotidae
Description: lncRNA (ENSANAG00000038738.1)
Source: RNAcentral
UGACAGCUGUUCAAUGAGGGAUUAUGAUGUCACAGUGGUAAUUACACUAUAAACAGGGGAUAGGGGGAGAAUAAAGCAUGAAAGAGAACCCUGGGCUUGUUACCAGGCAACACAAAAUAUGCAACCUGAAACCAGGCAAGCAUGUAAAUUUCCUUACAAGCCUCCCAGAUGUCCUCACUUUAUGGCCAAUGCUCAGUUUCAGUUUCAAUUUGUUUAUUUGCCCUUCUCAGUCACAAAUGUGGAGCUGAGAAUGCUGGAAGAGAGAAGAGAAAGCAAGGAAUAAAAAGACAAGGAGGGACCCUCCUUUCUCCCCUGAGUGUGAAACCACGUGCACAGAAGAGUUCUCGCUGCAUGGGGCCCGCUUGGGAAUUGGAGGACUUAUCAAUAUGA